UUGACGGGCAUUGUCAUCUCAUUAACAGGCAGCAGGCUCCACAUGCCUUCUGUGAUUGGCAAAAUCUCUCUUCUGUAACAGAACAGCUGCCAGGGGCUGGUUUCCUCAGACAGAGACGUGUCACAGAGAAGGUGUUGGCUCAGAGGAGGGACCAGGCAAGGACCAGUCGGGAGGCAGAGCUGUCCCCAAGCGAGCCAUGCAGAGGGUCUGCUCCUUCAUCCACCUCACCCUCUUCUGGGCAGGAGUCAUGUCAGCUGUCGUGUUGUUGCCUCAAGACCAAGAAAAGACUGUGCCUGUGGGGAAAUCUGUCACCCUCAGUUGCUCCAUGAAAGGAGACUCCAUCAGUAAACACUAUAUUUUCUGGUACAGGAAGACCCCGGGUAACACAAUGACUUUCAUAUACCGAGAAGGGGGUACAUAUGGCCCUGGGUUUGAGGACAACUUCCGAGGUAAAAUUGAUGAUUUAACCAACCAGGCUAUGCUGGAGGUCCUGAAGGCAUCAAAGAGAGAUGAAGGAUUUUACUACUGUGCCAGUGUUACCACCCUGCUGCAGGUUCACUUCUAAGCAACUCAACAAACACAGAGAUCUAAGUGGAAUAGCAUUUUCAACAAGAUCAUGACUUUCUCUUGAAGAAAUAGUUUAACAAAUGGAGGCCAGAGAAGGCUGAUGUCCAUGCCUUUCCUUCAGGUUCAGUGGCUCAUAUCCUGCCCACAAGCUCCCGUGGUGCUUAGAUAGGCAAUCCCUAGUGAGGUGUGGCCCAG
Cervus elaphus (red deer) is the source of this 762-nucleotide non-coding RNA. Lineage: Eukaryota; Metazoa; Chordata; Mammalia; Artiodactyla; Cervidae. The record is from the annotation of a RefSeq genome assembly.